RNAcentral lists this long non-coding RNA (292 nucleotides) under Rattus norvegicus (Norway rat). RNAcentral describes it as "long non-coding RNA NONRATT023275". The record is from RNAcentral. Lineage: Eukaryota; Metazoa; Chordata; Mammalia; Rodentia; Muridae.
AACAAAAUGAAAAUGCACGGUGCAGGGAGUCCACUAAAGCUCUGCCAGAGGCCGGGUUCUAAGGCCUUAUUGAUUAACUACAGCUGUUGAUGCUAGUGAACCGUCUCCGUGUUGAGCUGGUGUGGAAGAUGUUAGACUUGACCGCUUCUUAAGGACCAAUGCAGCCGAUCUGGGAGGAGUGCGGUGUACAGGAACUAUCUUUCCACAAAUCACAUGACGUCUGCAAAGGACAAAAGAGCUGCCCAUGUCCAGUUUUCUGUCAUCUUUUAAAAUCACAACCCAAUAACUUUAA